Long non-coding RNA from Sander lucioperca (pikeperch), 77 nucleotides. RefSeq lists it as uncharacterized. The transcript has 3 exons. NCBI's taxonomy places the organism in Eukaryota, Metazoa, Chordata, Actinopteri, Perciformes, Percidae. The record is from RefSeq and is a predicted model, not a curated record.
AUUUAAAAAAUAAAUUAAUCAACGGCACACGCUGACAAAUCAAAACACACCAUUCAGUGAUUGUGAAGCUAAUAAGA